UUUAUGGAGAGUUUGAUCCUGGCUCAGGAUGAACGCUGGCGGCGUGCCUAAUACAUGCAAGUCGAGCGAACGGACGAGGAGCUUGCUUCUCUGAUGUUAGCGGCGGACGGGUGAGUAACACGUGGAUAACCUACCUAUAAGACUGGGAUAACUUCGGGAAACCGGAGCUAAUACCGGAUAAUAUUUUGAACCGCAUGGUUCAAAAGUGAAAGACGGUCUUGCUGUCACUUAUAGAUGGAUCCGCGCUGCAUUAGCUAGUUGGUAAGGUAACGGCUUACCAAGGCAACGAUGCAUAGCCGACCUGAGAGGGUGAUCGGCCACACUGGAACUGAGACACGGUCCAGACUCCUACGGGAGGCAGCAGUAGGGAAUCUUCCGCAAUGGGCGAAAGCCUGACGGAGCAACGCCGCGUGAGUGAUGAAGGUCUUCGGAUCGUAAAACUCUGUUAUUAGGGAAGAACAUAUGUGUAAGUAACUGUGCACAUCUUGACGGUACCUAAUCAGAAAGCCACGGCUAACUACGUGCCAGCAGCCGCGGUAAUACGUAGGUGGCAAGCGUUAUCCGGAAUUAUUGGGCGUAAAGCGCGCGUAGGCGGUUUUUUAAGUCUGAUGUGAAAGCCCACGGCUCAACCGUGGAGGGUCAUUGGAAACUGGAAAACUUGAGUGCAGAAGAGGAAAGUGGAAUUCCAUGUGUAGCGGUGAAAUGCGCAGAGAUAUGGAGGAACACCAGUGGCGAAGGCGACUUUCUGGUCUGUAACUGACGCUGAUGUGCGAAAGCGUGGGGAUCAAACAGGAUUAGAUACCCUGGUAGUCCACGCCGUAAACGAUGAGUGCUAAGUGUUAGGGGGUUUCCGCCCCUUAGUGCUGCAGCUAACGCAUUAAGCACUCCGCCUGGGGAGUACGACCGCAAGGUUGAAACUCAAAGGAAUUGACGGGGACCCGCACAAGCGGUGGAGCAUGUGGUUUAAUUCGAAGCAACGCGAAGAACCUUACCAAAUCUUGACAUCCUUUGACAACUCUAGAGAUAGAGCCUUCCCCUUCGGGGGACAAAGUGACAGGUGGUGCAUGGUUGUCGUCAGCUCGUGUCGUGAGAUGUUGGGUUAAGUCCCGCAACGAGCGCAACCCUUAAGCUUAGUUGCCAUCAUUAAGUUGGGCACUCUAAGUUGACUGCCGGUGACAAACCGGAGGAAGGUGGGGAUGACGUCAAAUCAUCAUGCCCCUUAUGAUUUGGGCUACACACGUGCUACAAUGGACAAUACAAAGGGCAGCGAAACCGCGAGGUCAAGCAAAUCCCAUAAAGUUGUUCUCAGUUCGGAUUGUAGUCUGCAACUCGACUACAUGAAGCUGGAAUCGCUAGUAAUCGUAGAUCAGCAUGCUACGGUGAAUACGUUCCCGGGUCUUGUACACACCGCCCGUCACACCACGAGAGUUUGUAACACCCGAAGCCGGUGGAGUAACCUUUUAGGAGCUAGCCGUCGAAGGUGGGACAAAUGAUUGGGGUGAAGUCGUAACAAGGUAGCCGUAUCGGAAGGUGCGGCUGGAUCACCUCCUUU
This 1552-nucleotide ribosomal RNA is filed under the name Staphylococcus aureus. RNAcentral describes it as "16S ribosomal RNA". It matches the Rfam family "Bacterial small subunit ribosomal RNA". Lineage: Bacteria; Bacillati; Bacillota; Bacilli; Caryophanales; Staphylococcaceae. The record is from RNAcentral.